AACAUGCCAAGCGGCUGUCAAAAAGCCAACGGCGAAGCGGCGGCGCUCUCUCAAAAAAGAAAAAAAUAUAUAAAUAUAAAUAAAAUAAAAAUCAAAUCAAGCGCGAGCUCGACUUCGAGUCCGAGUUUGAUGACGUUUCGGGUUUGGCAUUCAAGAAAGAACAAAGCCAGCGCCGAUGGGUUGCCCCUUGGGCCUAGAGACGACACCGUGACGCAUCGUGAGAGCUAUGAACUGUGCCAAGUGCGAGCUGUCAAUGCCAGGCUAUUAUUAGUUGUAUCGCAGUUUUAUGCAAAGUUCUCAACCAGUUAUUGAAAGAAGUUUGCAGUUUCUAUAGAUGAAUAACUUUGACGCGUAGUUCGAUUGUUGAGUAAUCUAAGCAAUUCAUAAAAGGAUUAGAUAAGAGGAGGCAGAUUUGAACUUAUGGAUUUGAACUCAUGAACUCAUGUAGCAUUAAAUAGAUAAGUAAAUAAUAGUCCUAGUAACAAAUGCCUUUGUAUAGGCCGUAAUCGAUAUUAGUAAGUACUUUAUCCCAAAAAAUACAUUCUUAAUGUUCA
Drosophila albomicans is the source of this 554-nucleotide long non-coding RNA. RefSeq lists it as uncharacterized. The transcript has 2 exons. The record is from RefSeq and is a predicted model, not a curated record. NCBI's taxonomy places the organism in Eukaryota, Metazoa, Arthropoda, Insecta, Diptera, Drosophilidae.